AACGAACGCUGGCGGCAUGCCUAACACAUGCAAGUCGAACGAGACCUUCGGGUCUAGUGUCGCACGGGUGCGUAACGCGUGGGAACCUGCCCUUAGGUUCGGAAUAACUCCCCGAAAGGGGUGCUAAUACCGGAUAAUGUCUUCGGACCAAAGAUUUAUCGCCUUUGGAUGGACCCGCGUUGGAUUAGCUAGUUGGUAGGGUAAAAGCAUACCAAGGCGACGAUCCAUAGCUGGUCUGAGAGAAUGAUCAGCCACACUGGGACUGAGACACGGCCCAGACUCCUACGGGAGGCAGGAGUGGGGAAUAUUGGACAAUGGGGGAAGGCCUGAUCCAGCAAUGCCGCGUGAGUGAUGAAGGCAUGAGAGUUGUAAAGCUCUUUUACCCGGGAUGAUAAUGACAGUACCGGGAGAAUAAGCUCCGGCUAACUCCGUG
RNAcentral lists this ribosomal RNA (433 nucleotides) under uncultured bacterium. RNAcentral's name for it is "partial 16S ribosomal RNA". It matches the Rfam family "Bacterial small subunit ribosomal RNA", at positions 29 to 507 of the family's 1533-position model. The record is from RNAcentral.